GUGGGGAAUUUUGGACAAUGGGCGCAAGCCUGAUCCAGCAAUGCCGCGUGCAGGAAGAAGGCCUUCGGGUUGUAAACUGCUUUUGUACGGAACGAAACGGUCCUGGCUAAUAUCCGGGGCUAAUGACGGUACCGUAAGAAUAAGCACCGGCUAACUACGUGCCAGCAGCCGCGGUAAUACGUAGGGUGCGAGCGUUAAUCGGAAUUACUGGGCGUAAAGCGUGCGCAGGCGGUGCUGUAAGACAGGCGUGAAAUCCCCGGGCUCAACCUGGGAAUUGCGCUUGUGACUGCAGUGCUGGAGUGCGGCAGAGGGGGAUGGAAUUCCGCGUGUAGCAGUGAAAUGCGUAGAUAUGCGGAGGAACACCGAUGGCGAAGGCAAUCCCCUGGACCUGUACUGACGCUCAUGCACGAAAGCGUGGGGAGCAAACAGGAUUAGAUACCCGAGUAGUCC
Molecule: ribosomal RNA, 450 nt
Filed under: uncultured bacterium
Lineage: Bacteria
Description: partial 16S ribosomal RNA
Rfam family: Bacterial small subunit ribosomal RNA
Source: RNAcentral